AGCGCUGGAGCCAGAUGGCUAGGCGGCCGGUUGCAACCCGGCAGAAGUGGGUUCAAUUCCCGCCGGCGCUU
RNAcentral lists this transfer RNA (71 nucleotides) under Mariniblastus sp. RNAcentral's name for it is "tRNA-Cys". It matches the Rfam family "tRNA". From Rfam's summary of the family: Transfer RNA (tRNA) molecules are approximately 80 nucleotides in length. Their secondary structure includes four short double-helical elements and three loops (D, anti-codon, and T loops). Lineage: Bacteria; Pseudomonadati; Planctomycetota; Planctomycetia; Pirellulales; Pirellulaceae. The record is from RNAcentral.